UCGAGGAUCUUUGGCAAUGGGCGCAAGCCUGACCAAGCGACGCCGCGUGUGCGAUGAAGGCCUUCGGGUUGUAAAGCACUGUCGAGGGGGAUAAAGCCCGCAAGGGUUGAUUGAUCCCUGGAGGAAGCACGGGCUAAGUUCGUGCCAGCAGCCGCGGUAAGACGAACCGUGCGAACGUUGUUCGGAAUCACUGGGCUUAAAGGGCGCGUAGGCGGCAGACCAAGUCCGGGGUGAAAGCCCCCAGCUCAACUGGGGAAGUGCCUUGGAUACUGGCUUGCUAGAGGGAGGUAGGGGUCGAGGGAACUUCUGGUGGAGCGGUGAAAUGCGUUGAUAUCAGAAGGAACGCCGGUGGCGAAAGCGCUCGACUGGACCUUUACUGACGCUGAGGCGCGAAAGCUAGGGGAGCAAACGGGAUUAGAUACCCCCGUAGUCC
RNAcentral lists this ribosomal RNA (433 nucleotides) under uncultured bacterium. RNAcentral's name for it is "bacterial SSU rRNA". It matches the Rfam family "Bacterial small subunit ribosomal RNA", at positions 355 to 796 of the family's 1533-position model. The record is from RNAcentral.